UCGAGAAAACUUUACCAUGCGGGCAACCGUGAUAAGGAAACCCCGCGUGCCAGCACAGGCUGGCUGUCCGCCAGUUUAAACAACUGGCGAAGAAAGGGCCGGGCAAGACCGGUGCCAGCCGCCGCGGUAAUACCGGCGGCUCGAGUGGUGGCCGCUAUUACUGGGCUUAAAGGGUCCGUAGCUUGAUAAUAGGGUCCCUUGAGAAAUCCGCCGGCUUAACUGGCGGGCGUUCAGGGGAAACUUGUUUUCUAGGGACCGGGAGAGGUGAGGGGUACUGCCGGGGUAGGAGUGAAAUCCUGUAAUCCCGGUGGGACCACCUAUGGCGAAGGCAUCUCACCAGAACGGGUCCGACAGUGAGGGACGAAAGCUGGGGGAGCAAACCG
RNAcentral lists this ribosomal RNA (383 nucleotides) under uncultured bacterium. Its description in RNAcentral is "bacterial SSU rRNA". It matches the Rfam family "Archaeal small subunit ribosomal RNA", at positions 339 to 726 of the family's 1478-position model. The record is from RNAcentral.